RNAcentral lists this ribosomal RNA (1147 nucleotides) under Salmonella enterica. RNAcentral's name for it is "partial 23S ribosomal RNA". It matches the Rfam family "Bacterial large subunit ribosomal RNA", at positions 1783 to 2925 of the family's 2925-position model. RNAcentral also lists the same sequence under 1 other name. Lineage: Bacteria; Pseudomonadati; Pseudomonadota; Gammaproteobacteria; Enterobacterales; Enterobacteriaceae. The record is from RNAcentral.
UACCAGCUGGCUGCAACUGUUUAUUAAAAACACAGCACUGUGCAAACACGAAAGUGGACGUAUACGGUGUGACGCCUGCCCGGUGCCGGAAGGUUAAUUGAUGGGGUCAGCGCAAGCGAAGCUCCUGAUCGAAGCCCCGGUAAACGGCGGCCGUAACUAUAACGGUCCUAAGGUAGCGAAAUUCCUUGUCGGGUAAGUUCCGACCUGCACGAAUGGCGUAAUGAUGGCCAGGCUGUCUCCACCCGAGACUCAGUGAAAUUGAACUCGCUGUGAAGAUGCAGUGUACCCGCGGCAAGACGGAAAGACCCCGUGAACCUUUACUAUAGCUUGACACUGAACAUUGAGCCUUGAUGUGUAGGAUAGGUGGGAGGCUUUGAAGCGUGGACGCCAGUCUGCGUGGAGCCGACCUUGAAAUACCACCCUUUAAUGUUUGAUGUUCUAACGUGGACCCGUAAUCCGGGUUGCGGACAGUGUCUGGUGGGUAGUUUGACUGGGGCGGUCUCCUCCUAAAGAGUAACGGAGGAGCACGAAGGUUGGCUAAUCCUGGUCGGACAUCAGGAGGUUAGUGCAAUGGCAUAAGCCAGCUUGACUGCGAGCGUGACGGCGCGAGCAGGUGCGAAAGCAGGUCAUAGUGAUCCGGUGGUUCUGAAUGGAAGGGCCAUCGCUCAACGGAUAAAAGGUACUCCGGGGAUAACAGGCUGAUACCGCCCAAGAGUUCAUAUCGACGGCGGUGUUUGGCACCUCGAUGUCGGCUCAUCACAUCCUGGGGCUGAAGUAGGUCCCAAGGGUAUGGCUGUUCGCCAUUUAAAGUGGUACGCGAGCUGGGUUUAGAACGUCGUGAGACAGUUCGGUCCCUAUCUGCCGUGGGCGCUGGAGAACUGAGGGGGGCUGCUCCUAGUACGAGAGGACCGGAGUGGACGCAUCACUGGUGUUCGGGUUGUCAUGCCAAUGGCACUGCCCGGUAGCUAAAUGCGGAAGAGAUAAGUGCUGAAAGCAUCUAAGCACGAAACUUGCCCCGAGAUGAGUUCUCCCUGAGACUUUAGGUCUCCUGAAGGAACGUUGAAGACGACGACGUUGAUAGGCCGGGUGUGUAAGCGCAGCGAUGCGUUGAGCUAACCGGUACUAAUGAACCGUGAGGCUUAACCUU